CAGACAGCAAAGUUGAUAAAAUUGAUUAAAAAUUAAAUAUAUAUAUCUAUAUAUAUGUAAUGGGGAAGGCUUUAGGACCCAGGGGACUCAAUGGAGGGCAUAAAAGAGGGCGUAGUAACAGGUGCUGAUGAUUCCCACUGACAAGCGGCUGUGAGUAAUGGAUGCGUGAGUAGGUGAAGAGCCGAGAAGUUUAAUCGCCUACGACGCAAACUGUGGUUUUAAACCUCUAUAGAUGAGGUUCAAGUAGUGAUUUCUGUGGAAGAAAAGGCCAAGACAAAUCAGGUGUGCAGCAAAUACAGUUGCCUACUCGAGGUAUGUUAAUUUAAUAUAUCUGACAUUAAAAAAAGGGAAAAAAAGUCUAUUAUGCAUUAUAAUUUAACUUAUAUUGUAUUCCCUCCUGUAGGGCAGGCUGCACAUGCGAACUUGUCACUGUUUUUUUUCCUCCUUCUCUGUAUGGUUGUGUUUUGUUGGUUUUAGCAGGUCACCGUUUUUAAUUAUUUUUGUUGUUUUAUUUCGGGUUUUGUUUAUUUUUAUUGGGUUGGUGCAAUACUAAGCGGGCAACGUGCAAUCCCUGAGUGGGGCUCAUACCUCGGGGGGAUGAGGAUUUUUUUAGUGGUGCUCUGUGUGUGGAUUUGCCGUGAUUAAGGUUUAUUAAGAGUGCUUUUGUAUUACCACCGUCUAUUGCCUGAACUAGCACUUAGUGCAUGCUAUAAGUGUUCGGUUGGGCCUUUUUAUGUUUGAGGUGGAUUUGUCUCUUUUAGAGUGACGAGCACCUGGGACCGCCAAGGAGGAACAAACCCUCAGGUGAUAGCUUCGUUGCUGGCAAGGUUGCACCGCUACUAUUUUUUUUUUUGUUGUAGCGAUGUUUUAGGUUUUUUUCUUUUUCUCAAAACUUUGGUGUCUUGUCAUGUUAAUAAAUUGUUGAACAUCUUUUACUGAUAUUGAUCCUCUUGUCCUGUUUAUUCUGGAUUCGAUCUGUGAGAGUUUUUUUUUGGUCUGAAAGUUCGUACUAGUCAUAAGAGAGGCCCACAGUGGUUACUUGGUGGCUUAUACCACGCUAUAUAUAUA
Long non-coding RNA from Astatotilapia calliptera (eastern happy), 1068 nucleotides. Lineage: Eukaryota; Metazoa; Chordata; Actinopteri; Cichliformes; Cichlidae. The record is from Ensembl.